Rhea pennata is the source of this 412-nucleotide long non-coding RNA. RefSeq lists it as uncharacterized. The transcript has 3 exons. Lineage: Eukaryota; Metazoa; Chordata; Aves; Rheiformes; Rheidae. The record is from RefSeq and is a predicted model, not a curated record.
AGUCCCUUUGACUUCAACUCAGGAUCCAGGUUUUUAUCCACAGUUCCCAGACGCUCAUCACCAUGUCACGCUUCUGAAUAAAACAUCAGGGAAUUUAGUAAACACACCAGGGACUCCUCCAGAUGUCCUAGCACUGGGCAGGGAAGCAGAGUCUUCACCAGCUCUGGGCUCUUCCAAGGCAGAGUGGCAGGAUUAAGUGCCAGGUAUUCUGAUGGCAUUAUAUACAAAAUAUUCAAAAGGAAACUGUGACCUGUUAAAGUGCUGAAGGCACAAUCAAAAGAAGCUCAGGUGAAGAAUGAAAGUUGAGUUGGGAGAAAUGCCAGUUUUCCCUCACAGUCGCCCCCCUUGGGCCUUUCAGCUGAGCACUUCUGCAGAUAUGCUUGUUGCCGAUCACUCGAAUGCCACCUCUAAA